AGAACGAACGCUGGCGGCGGGGUUUAGGCAUGCAAGUCGCGCGAGAAAGGGGCAACCCGAGUAAAGCGGCGUAAGGGUGAGUAAUAGGUAGCCAACGUACCCUGGAGACGCGGAUAAUUCCCCGAAAGGGGUUGUAAUACGCGAUGAGACCACGUGCUGUCCGCAGCAUGAGGUCAAAGGUCGGGGAUCCUUCGGGACCCGGCGCUUUGGGAGCGGGCGACCUCCGAUUAGCUAGUUGGUGUGGUAACGGCACACCAAGGCGAUGAUCGGUAGCCGGGCUGAGAGGCUGUCCGGCCACACUGGCACUGAGACACUGGCCAGACUCCUACGGGAGGCUGCAGUCGCGAAUCUUUCACAAUGGGCGCAAGCCUGAUGAAGCCACGCCGCGUGCGGGAUGAAGGCCCUUUGGUUGUAAACCGCUGUCAAGGGAGGGAAACGCACGUCGUGAAUAGCGCGUGUUUGACUGCUCUCUAAAGGACGCCCCGGACAAAACAUGUAACCAGCAGCCGCGGUAA
RNAcentral lists this ribosomal RNA (515 nucleotides) under uncultured soil bacterium. Its description in RNAcentral is "bacterial SSU rRNA". It matches the Rfam family "Bacterial small subunit ribosomal RNA", at positions 26 to 523 of the family's 1533-position model. The record is from RNAcentral.